Non-coding RNA from Gossypium hirsutum (cotton), 117 nucleotides. The record is from Rfam. NCBI's taxonomy places the organism in Eukaryota, Viridiplantae, Streptophyta, Magnoliopsida, Malvales, Malvaceae.
UGUUAAAAAAUUCAUCAAUUUCUACUUUUAAAAAUUGGCGUGAGUGACAAAAUAUGAAGUUCAUUUUGUUGUACAUGAACUAGUUUUUAACAACAAAAAUAGAUAAAAUUUUUAACA